This 752-nucleotide unclassified non-coding RNA is filed under the name Hevea brasiliensis (rubber tree). Lineage: Eukaryota; Viridiplantae; Streptophyta; Magnoliopsida; Malpighiales; Euphorbiaceae. The record is from RNAcentral.
UGAUGUAUUUUUAGAUCAUUCUACUUAUGCAGAUCCUCCAUCAAGAUUUGAGGCAGGAACUCCUGCAAUUGGAGAAGCAAUUGGGCUAGGAGCAGCAAUUGAUUAUUUGUCAGGAAUUGGCAUGCAAAAGAUUCAUGACUAUGAGAUCGAGUUGGCUAAUUAUUUAUAUGAAAGCCUCUGCACUGUCCCCAAUGUUCAUAUCUAUGGACCAAAAUCUUCAGAAACUGUUCACCGUGCUGCUCUCUGUUCUUUCAAUGUUGAGAAUAUUCACCCCACAGAUAUUGCAACCUUUCUGGACCAACAGCAUGGAGUGGCUAUCAGAUCAGGUCACCACUGUGCCCAACCUCUUCAUCGGCAUUUAGGAGUAAAUGCAAGUGCACGUGCUAGUCUCUAUUUCUACAAUACUAAAGAGGAUGUUGAUGCUUUCAUACAGGCACUCAAUGACACUAUUAGCUUCUUCAAUUCUUUCAAGUAGAGUAACCUUUUAUUCUCCUCCCACAGGUACUAAUACAGGAUAUUGUGCAACUUCACACAACUUUUCUUUUUGUUUCUUCUGUCGUGUUAAAGAUCUCUCGUCUUUCUUUCUGCCUUUUGAUGAGUGUUGUACAAUAACACAUAUUUGUAAAUCAAUUAUUUAAAGCCACUGCUAGGUUGUACUUUAUUUUAGAUUUAAUAAAGCGUCUGGAGAUGGUCCGGGGUUUUCCUUCCUUCCCACCUGGACACUGCAUUUAUAUUUAAAAAAAAAAAAAAGA